Molecule: ribosomal RNA, 119 nt
Organism: Pteropus vampyrus (large flying fox)
Lineage: Eukaryota; Metazoa; Chordata; Mammalia; Chiroptera; Pteropodidae
Source: Ensembl
AGCUAUGGCCUUGCCACCCUGAACAAGCCCUAUUCCGUCUGAUCUCGGAGGUUAAGCAGGGUCCAGGCUGGUUAGAACCUGGAUGGGAGACCACCUAGGAGGACCAGGUGCUGUAGACA